UAAACGACUCUCGGCAACGGAUAUCUCGGCUCUCGCAUCGAUGAAGAACGCAGCGAAAUGCGAUACUUGGUGUGAAUUGCAGGAUCCCGCGAACCAUCGAGUCUUUGAACGCAAGUUGCGCCCGAAGCCAUCCGGCCGAGGGCACGUCUGCCUGGGUGUCACUC
This 164-nucleotide ribosomal RNA is filed under the name Euphorbia obesa. RNAcentral describes it as "5.8S ribosomal RNA". It matches the Rfam family "5.8S ribosomal RNA". From Rfam's summary of the family: 5.8S ribosomal RNA (5.8S rRNA) is a component of the large subunit of the eukaryotic ribosome. It is transcribed by RNA polymerase I as part of the 45S precursor that also contains 18S and 28S rRNA. Functionally, it is thought that 5.8S rRNA may be involved in ribosome translocation. RNAcentral also lists the same sequence under 1 other name. Lineage: Eukaryota; Viridiplantae; Streptophyta; Magnoliopsida; Malpighiales; Euphorbiaceae. The record is from RNAcentral.